RNAcentral lists this long non-coding RNA (224 nucleotides) under Manihot esculenta (cassava). Its description in RNAcentral is "long non-coding RNA (MESC_LNC006661)". The record is from RNAcentral. Lineage: Eukaryota; Viridiplantae; Streptophyta; Magnoliopsida; Malpighiales; Euphorbiaceae.
CUCCUUAAUCCGCAGUAUGGACGGACUCACGACAAGUAAACAGCCAAGCUGAAUAAAGCUGAGUAUAGAAGACAUACCAGAGAGCCGAGCUCCCUACAUGAAAAGGCCUGCAAAUGCAGAAAAACACAAAAGGAUAAACGAAAGCGAGAGACCCUGCUCACAGCUCGGAUUAACUCACAGUAAACAAACACUUAGCAAAGAUGACCCUGGGAGAGGAAAACGAC